RNAcentral lists this ribosomal RNA (1116 nucleotides) under Rhytidhysteron rufulum. Its description in RNAcentral is "SSU rRNA". It matches the Rfam family "Eukaryotic small subunit ribosomal RNA", at positions 62 to 1144 of the family's 1831-position model. The record is from RNAcentral. Lineage: Eukaryota; Fungi; Ascomycota; Dothideomycetes; Hysteriales; Hysteriaceae.
GGGGGCAUGGGGUCUAGGGUAGAAAGGGAUUAUACCGUGAAACUGCGAAUGGCUCAUUAAAUCAGUUAUCGUUUAUUUGAUAGUACCUUACUACUUGGAUAACCGUGGUAAUUCUAGAGCUAAUACAUGCUAAAAACCCCAACUUCGGGAGGGGUGUAUUUAUUAGAUAAAAAACCAACGCCCUUCGGGGCUCCUUGGUGAAUCAUAAUAACUUAACGGAUCGCAUGGCCUUGCGCCGGCGACGGUUCAUUCAAAUUUCUGCCCUAUCAACUUUCGAUUGUAGGGUAUUGGCCUACAAUGGUAUCAACGGGUAACGGGGAAUUAGGGUUCGAUUCCGGAGAGGGAGCCUGAGAAACGGCUACCACAUCCAAGGAAGGCAGCAGGCGCGCAAAUUACCCAAUCCCGACACGGGGAGGUAGUGACAAUAAAUACUGAUACAGGGCUCUUUUGGGUCUUGUAAUUGGAAUGAGUACAAUUUAAAUCCCUUAACGAGGAACAAUUGGAGGGCAAGUCUGGUGCCAGCAGCCGCGGUAAUUCCAGCUCCAAUAGCGUAUAUUAAAGUUGUUGCAGUUAAAAAGCUCGUAGUUGAACCUUGGGCCUGGCUGGCCGGUCCGCCUCACCGCGUGCACUGGUCCGGCCGGGCCUUUCCUUCUGGAGAGCCGCAUGCCCUUCACUGGGUGUGUCGGGGAACCAGGACUUUUACUUUGAAAAAAUUAGAGUGUUCAAAGCAGGCCUUUGCUCGAAUACAUUAGCAUGGAAUAAUAGAAUAGGACGUGCGGUUCUAUUUUGUUGGUUUCUAGGACCGCCGUAAUGAUUAAUAGGGAUAGUCGGGGGCAUCAGUAUUCAAUUGUCAGAGGUGAAAUUCUUGGAUUUAUUGAAGACUAACUACUGCGAAAGCAUUUGCCAAGGAUGUUUUCAUUAAUCAGUGAACGAAAGUUAGGGGAUCGAAGACGAUCAGAUACCGUCGUAGUCUUAACCCGUAAACUAUGCCGACUAGGGAUCGGGCGAUGUAUUAUUUUGACUCGCUCGGCACCUUACGAGAAAUCAAAGUUUUUGGGUUCUGGGGGGGAGUAUGGUCGCAGCUGAACUAGUAGUUUUUUUAAUUCGACAGAGAUU